This 831-nucleotide unclassified non-coding RNA is filed under the name uncultured Mycena. RNAcentral describes it as "sequence contains ITS1, 5.8S rRNA gene and ITS2". The stretch from base 298 to 451 matches the Rfam family "5.8S ribosomal RNA". The record is from RNAcentral. Lineage: Eukaryota; Fungi; Basidiomycota; Agaricomycetes; Agaricales; Tricholomataceae.
AAGUCGUAACAAGGUUUCCGUAGGUGAACCUGCGGAAGGAUCAUUAUUGAAUACGUUUGGUUCUGAUGCUGGCUCUUCACUGAGCAUGUGCUCGAUCCAUAACUAUUUAUCUUCUCUUGUGCACCUUUUGUAGUCUUUCAGAGCAAGUGAUAACUCUCGCAGCAAUGCGGUUUGGGGGACUUGGGCGUGAGCCCUUCCCCUUCGUUUGCUUCUUUGGAGGGCUAUGUUUUCAUAUACACUAUAAAGUUACAGAAUGUCUUUUAAAGAUUGUGCUAGUCGCAGUCAUUAAACCUAUACAACUUUCAGCAACGGAUCUCUUGGCUCUCCCAUCGAUGAAGAACGCAGCGAAAUGCGAUAAGUAAUGUGAAUUGCAGAAUUCAGUGAAUCAUCGAAUCUUUGAACGCACCUUGCGCCCCUUGGUAUUCCGAAGGGCAUGCCUGUUUGAGUGUCAUUAAAUUCUCAACCCAAAAAGCUUUUACGAGCUCUUUUGUGGCUUGGAUGUGGGGGUUUUUGCUGGCUUCCUUCAGUGGAUGGUCUGCUCCCCUUAAAUGCAUUAGUGGGAUCUCUUGUGGACCGUCACUUGGUGUGAUAAUUAUCUAUGCCAGUUGACUUUGAAGCAAAACUUAUGGGAACCCGCUCAUAACCGUCUUCGGACAACUUAUUGACAUUUUGACCUCAAAUCAGGUAGGACUACCCGCUGAACUUAAGCAUAUCAAUAAGCGGAGGAAAAGAAACUAACAAGGAUUCCCCUAGUAACUGCGAGUGAAGCGGGAAAAGCUCAAAUUUAAAAUCUGGCGGUCCCUGUGGCCGUCCGAGUUGUAAUUUAGAGAA